ACUCCGGUUUCAUGGAUUCCCAGUCCAGCUGCGUGAUGGUGACUGGUUUCGGGCCCUUCCGGCAGCACCUGGUGAAUUCCAGCUGGGAAGCAGUAAAGGUAAAAACCCUCUAAGCCCAGACCCAGGAGCGCACGAUCCAGCUGGUUCCUUCUGUGGUUCUGAGAAAAUCCAGCACGUAGGCUCCUUGGUGACCAGAUCCACACGGGAGGGGAGAAAACACACACUGGGUGCGCGGGGACACGAGCUAGCUUUUUGUCCUUGGGUUGUGACUCACCUGCCCAUAGGGGGCCCAUCUGGCUCAGUGGUAAAGAAAACAGGCUGGAGGGACACCCCUGGGAAGGAUGGGGAGUGGCCCAGGAAGGCUCUGCUGCCCUGAGAGCUGAGAACCCCUUCUGGCUGUGGAGUGUCGGGAAAGUCACUGCCCCCAGCCCUGGUGUUCUCAUUCAUGACACGGGCGAAUAAUAGUGCUGAUGUUACAGGGUCGUUCUGAGGAGUAAAAGAGGUAGGUGUGUGAAGCAAGUAAGUCUGUAAAAGCAGCUUUUUUAAAGCAUAGUGCCUGGCACAGGGUAAGAGCUUAAUACAUGGUUAUAAUUAUAAACAACAUGGCUUCAUUUUUAAGAAAGCAGCCAGGAGAGAGCAUGUCCUCAGACAGGGCGUGAAGAGGGGUCUCAUCCGUAGAACAGAGCUCUCCUCCCUGAAGCAAUUGCCCCACUCCUACCAGUCCCUACACGGUGUCAUUUAGAGGCUCAGAGCACAGCUGGCUACUUAUUCACACUUGACCAUCAAUUUCAUGCUUCUGUUGGAUCAAGCCAAAGGUAGGAUCUUGAGUCUGUUCUCAGAGUUACCCAGUCAAGCUGAAAAUGCAGCAAAACCACUUGAAUCGUGCGUUUGCAGCCACUGUAGCAUUCAUUUUUUAGCCUGUCCACACAGACGCGGUCAAGGAAACUCUCCACUCUUGAGUUAGAACUUGGGUUUUUUUCAACCCGCAAAAAAACUCAGAGAACCCCAGACUCACUGCCAAGACUCACUGCUGCACACAACAUGCCAGAAAGGCCAGGUCAGGGCUUUAUGAGUUCCUGGGUGUUUGUAGCCAGUUCCUCGAAAAACAGGACUUUUUCUGCUGAAUCCCAAAUGGGCCCUGAGUCCUUCUUUUUGUGCCUCAGUUUUCUUAUCUGUAAAAUGGGAAGGUUGUGAUGACUACAGGAAUUAACACACAUAAAGCCCUCAGAGCAUGGCAGGGCAACUGCUGGUUCUCACAAAUUUCAUUCUUAUUACUAAGAAGCUAUUCUACCAGUCAGUUUUCUCAGUUGUGGGCAAAUAGAAUUGGACUUUGGAGAUCCACACAGGAAAUGGAAUGAGGGAGGGGAUUAUUUUGUAGACUCAAGAUUCACAAUAAAGCUGGAGAAUCAGGGCAGAAGGGCAGAAACAGCAGGCCGGGGGUUUCCAGGAAGAGGUAGUAGAAUGGCAAACUAGGUGCUCUGAGCAUCCCUUCCCCUGUAGAUAAACUAGAUAAGAUAGAACUUCUGUGCAUUGCUGGACAGGUAGUAGUAAAGGAAAGCCCAUAUACGUCAUGCCAUGCACAGAAAUACAUCACACAUACCCAGGGCUGCAGCCUGAAGGGGUGAAGGUCAGCACCCCCACCCUAACACACAAAAGGCAGGGGGGCACGUGCCAUUAUCAACAUUGUUUUUAGCAAAGGGGAUAGAAUGAAACCAAGGCUCUUACUGUAAGCCAGACCCUUGAAAGGAGAUCCUGUGGUCUCUAGCACCCCUGACUCCCAGCAAAGCAUAUGCAAUUUCUCUUGAGGAUUUAAAACCUUAGAUUUUCCACAAACUAAGAUAAACUAAACAUUUAUUUCCAAUCAAAGAUCACCAAAUAUUCAAAGAAACAAACUACCCUCAGUAAGAAUGAGCAGAAGCAGAUUUAGAACCUCAAAAACUUGUUCUAAAUCAUUCUGCUAGAUAUUAUCAGAAAAUAACAUAAUUAUAUAUGGAAUGCUUGAAGAAGUAAUGAUAAAAUCACAAAAACUAUCAAAAGAUUAGGCAAAUUGAAAAAGGGAGCAAUAGAGCUUAUAGAAAUUUAAAACACAAUUGUUGAAGUGAAGAAUUUAACAGAUGACUUAAAAGACAGUUUAGAAUUAUGCUAAGUGAAAGAUGCCACUCACCAAAGACCACAUAUUAUAUGAUUACAUUUAGAUGAAUGUCCAGAUGAAGCAAAUCUAUUGAGACAUAAAGUAGAUUAGUGGUUGCCUAGGGCAGGUGAGUGGGGGAUUGGGGGAAAUAGGGAGUGACUGUUAACGGGUAUGGGUUUUUUUUAAGGUUGAUGAAAAGGUUCUAAAAUUGACUGUGGUGAUGGUUGCACAACUCUGUGAAUAUACUAGAAGGCAAUGAAUUAUAGACUUUAAAUGGGUAAAUUGUAUGGUAUGUGAAAUACAUGUAAAUGGCAGUUUAGAAACAGAUAAGAAAAAUUAAUGAACUAGAAGAUAGCUCUGAUGAUAUUGUUUAAAGGGCAGCAUAAAGAGAUGGACAAUGAAAUGAAAAAAAAUUAAGAAAUAUGGAUAAUAAAAUGAGAUAUUUGAACAUAUGUUUAUUUGGAGUUCCAUAAGGAGAGAAUGAAUGAAAUAAAGCACUAGCCAAAGAGGUAAUGGUUGAGACUAUUGCAGAAUUGGAUGAAAGACAUAAAUCCACAGAGAUAAGAAGUAUAAAAUAUACCAAGCAAAAACAAAUAAAAUCAAUACAUAUACACAUCAUAGUAAAACUGCAGAAAACCAAAGACAAGGAGAUUUGAAAGUAGUCAGGGAAAAAGACAGGUCACCUACAAAAGACAAUACAAUUAGACUGAGAGUAAACUUUUCAAAAACAACAAUAAAAGCUAGAAAACAGUGGAGUAACAUCAUCAAAAUGCUGGAAAAAUAUUGUCAACCUGAAAUUGCAUACCGAGCAAAAUUAUUUUUCAGAACAAGGAUGAAAUGAAGACAUUUUCAUUAAAGCAAGCAUCAAGAGUUUACUACCAGCAGGCACAACCCUAAAGGAACAUGUAAAGGAUAUCAUUCAGAAGGAAGGAAAAUUAUCCCAGAAAGAUGGUGUGAGAUGCAAAGAGGAAUUGUGAGCCCAAAGGUAAAAUCUAAACUAGCAUUAUUUAUUAAUAAUGAUAAUAAUAAUAAAUGGCUAAUUGUAAGUUUAAAAAUAAAGGAUUGAACUAAAAUAUAGGACAA
This is a long non-coding RNA of Delphinapterus leucas (beluga whale), 3214 nucleotides long. The record is from Ensembl. Lineage: Eukaryota; Metazoa; Chordata; Mammalia; Artiodactyla; Monodontidae.